GUUUGAUCAUGGCUCAGAUUGAACGCUGGUAGCAUGCUUAACACAUGCAAGUCGAACGGUACAGGACUAGCUUGCUAGUUGCUGACGAGUGGCGGACGGGUGAGUAACGCGUAGGAAUCUACCCAUCUGAGGGGGAUACCAGUUGGAAACGACUGUUAAUACCGCAUAGUAUCUGUGGAUUAAAGGUGGCUUUUGGGCUGUCGCAGAUGGAUGAGCCUGCGUUGGAUUAGCUAGUUGGUGGGGUAAGGGCCUACCAAGGCUACGAUCCAUAGCUGAUUUGAGAGGAUGAUCAGCCACAUUGGGACUGAGACACGGCCCAAACUCCUACGGGAGGCAGCAGUGAGGAAUAUUGGACAAUGGGGGCAACCCUGAUCCAGCAAUGCCAUGUGUGUGAAGAAGGCCUUAGGGUUGUAAAGCACUUUAGUUGGGGAAGAAAGCUUUGAGGUUAAUAGCCUUGAGGAAAAGGACGUUACCCAAAGAAUAAGCACCGGCUAACUCCGUGCCAGCAGCCGCGGUAAUACGGGGGGUGCAAGCGUUAAUCGGAAUUACUGGGCGUAAAGGGUCUGUAGGUGGUUUGUUAAGUCAGAUGUGAAAGCCUAG
Molecule: ribosomal RNA, 600 nt
Filed under: uncultured bacterium
Lineage: Bacteria
Description: bacterial SSU rRNA
Rfam family: Bacterial small subunit ribosomal RNA
Source: RNAcentral